GGGGAAUAUUGGACAAUGGGCGCAAGCCUGAUCCAGCCAUGCCGCGUGAGUGAUGAAGGCCUUAGGGUUGUAAAGCUCUUUCACCGGAGAAGAUAAUGACGGUAUCCGGAGAAGAAGCCCCGGCUAACUUCGUGCCAGCAGCCGCGGUAAUACGAAGGGGGCUAGCGUUGUUCGGAAUUACUGGGCGUAAAGCGCACGUAGGCGGAUCGAUCAGUCAGGGGUGAAAUCCCAGAGCUCAACUCUGGAACUGCCUUUGAUACUGUCGAUCUAGAGUAUGGAAGAGGUGAGUGGAAUUCCGAGUGUAGAGGUGAAAUUCGUAGAUAUUCGGAGGAACACCAGUGGCGAAGGCGGCUCACUGGUCCAUUACUGACGCUGAGGUGCGAAAGCGUGGGGAGCAAAC
RNAcentral lists this ribosomal RNA (400 nucleotides) under uncultured bacterium. RNAcentral's name for it is "bacterial SSU rRNA". It matches the Rfam family "Bacterial small subunit ribosomal RNA", at positions 356 to 773 of the family's 1533-position model. The record is from RNAcentral.